GGCUCAGGGAGAGGUAGAAGCCUGCUACUCUGUUGCUGACCAAGCCUGUGUUAGGCCAAGCCAUUGUAGAUAGCCUGUAUAUAAUAGGAAACUGAUGGUGGGAAAUGGACACAAAGAGCACAGGAAUUGCACCAGCUUGGAGUGUCCCUGAGUCUGUCAGGAGUGGAGCAAAGGGGCUGGGUAUGCAGGGGUGCAAUGAGCCUCCCAUUACACGUGGGGGCUUAUCCGGGAUCUGAAGCCCCUGCCAGGAAGUGGGAACCUGAGCAUGGAGGGCACUAUGCAAUGGCUUGCUAAGCAGCAGGGAGAGCUGCAAAAGACCCUCCAGGUUUUCCAGCAGUCCCACCAGGCCAAGAUAGGCCUUACUCACCUGGCAGGCUGAGCAACAAAAGAUCCUCCAGGAAUUCAUCCAGAAGCAGGCCAGUGUACAACAGCAGCUCCUGCACCAGUUGGGAGCGAAGGAACAAUCACAUAGAAUAACUGGCAAAGCAGCAACAGAAAUGGGAUGUUUGAGUGAAUGGCCAUUUGUAUUUCAAUGUUUGGAUUAAACUCUACUAUUACUUUAUUGAUACAGAAGCAAAAGCUAACAGUGUCCUUCAUCCUAAGAGAGUACAACAGCCGUAUACAAUAGAUUGGGACAUGAUGUGAAGAAAAAUGGCAUAUCCAAUGAAACUCACUGUGGAAAUUUACUGUAGGAAGGAACAAUGUAUUUGUAUUCCAACUGGAAUUUUUGCUAAAACACUAGCACUAACUCCUAUUCCUGCAAAAAAAGUACAUGGUGUGAUCAGUAUCUUAGGUUUACAUCUCAUCUGAAGUGCAUCAUCUCCAUCAGCACAGUGCCUGCUGAGAGUAUACUGAAGCACAGAUUCAGUGUUCAGUUGCAGGGAAAUGAGAUGCUUCCUGGUUUAGCAAUACCACAACUUACUGCACCUGGAGUUUUUCCUUGGAAGUUUCUGAUCCAAACACUAGUCCUGCUCUAGUCAACUGGUGAGUCCCGAUGAUAGCUCAGCUGCAGUAAUAAAACUGAAGUGCACUCUUUUUGCAGUAUAUCUUCCUCUGACUACAUCAGUAAUCAGCCAUUUAUCAGAUAAUCAGAUCUCUGCCAAACUAUGUGCCAAAUAUGAUUAUCUGACUGAUGAAUAAAUAUAAAAUGUAAUUUUAGCUAGCCCAUUUUUGUACAUAUUUCUCUUUUCAGACUGUCUUUCUGACCUUGUGAAAAAUGGCUGCAGUUGAACAAAAAAUGUGUUUUAUUUCUAGAUAAUGGACUAUGCCAACUUCCAUUUCUUAUAGAAUUCAAUAGAAACUUGGUAUAUCAAGACAUUUCCUACAUCCUUAUUUCCUUUCAGACUAUACGCUUUAAUAUACCCAAUGCCCCAAUCUUUUCUUAUAUCUCUUGACUUCAGCAAUUCCUUUUUCAAUUUCUAUUGUUUUUUUUAUGAGGCAGGGACUUUUGCUACUGAGCAGUACAUUUAGUUUUCCACACAUGUAGCUAUGAGCUAAGAAAUUACACCAGUUCCUUGAGGCCUUCGGAGCUAAGUGAUUUUGGCUCGAUCUUUUCCAGCUAUCAGCCCUUCCAUUAGUGUUAAAGGAUGCUUCAGUGAUAUUUACUUGUUAUUCUGAUCCUGCUAAUUCAUUUUCUUUUGCUUUGAUGCUGAUAGUUUGAAACUUGGGUCCCUGGAAGGGUCACACUCCCUGCUGAAAGAGUCUAAUUAAGAUGUGCUUAUAUAGUGGCACAUGGUUGUCAUAAUCCCUGAAAAGGUCUUACAGGAACAUCUGAUUUUUUUUUAAUUAUGUCUACUUCAGAGUACAGAGACACCUGCUCUGUGUAGGGGCAAUGUGUCCCUCUCCUGGUGUGCUCCAAUCUCUCCUGGGUUGCAUGUGGUCUGCACUGCCCAUGGGCAAUAUUCAUUGCUCCUACCCAAUGGCCUACCUUACAAGCUUUAUGCAGCUCCAUGUCAGACAUUUUAGGCAAAAGAUUUAAUUAGGUAAUCACAUGUUUGCAUAUUAUUUGCAUAUGGCCAUAAACUUCCAUUUGGGUAC
Mauremys reevesii (Reeves's turtle) is the source of this 2037-nucleotide long non-coding RNA. RefSeq lists it as uncharacterized. The record is from RefSeq and is a predicted model, not a curated record. NCBI's taxonomy places the organism in Eukaryota, Metazoa, Chordata, Testudines, Geoemydidae. The transcript has 3 exons.